UGGGGAAUCUUGGACAAUGGGCGCAAGCCUGAUCCAGCCAUGCCGCGUGGAUGAUGAAGGCCUUAGGGUUGUAAAAUCCUUUCGCCGAGGACGAUAAUGACGGUACUCGGAGAAGAAGCUCCGGCUAACUUCGUGCCAGCAGCCGCGGUAAUACGAAGGGGGCUAGCGUUGUUCGGAUUUACUGGGCGUAAAGAGUCUGUAGGCGGCAAUUCAAGUCAUCUGUGAAAUCUCCGGGCUUAACUCGGAACGGUCAGAUGAUACUGCUUUGCUAGAGUGCAGAAGGGGCAAUCGGAAUUCUUGGUGUAGCGGUGAAAUGCGUAGAUAUCAAGAGGAACACCUGAGGUGAAGACGGGUUGCUGGGCUGACACUGACGCUGAGGCGCGAAAGCCAGGGGAGCAAACGGGAUUAGAUACCCAAGUAGUCCCUGAGCGGGCUGGCAAGGCGCAU
Molecule: ribosomal RNA, 447 nt
Filed under: uncultured bacterium
Lineage: Bacteria
Description: bacterial SSU rRNA
Rfam family: Bacterial small subunit ribosomal RNA
Source: RNAcentral